Molecule: transfer RNA, 72 nt
Filed under: Pseudoalteromonas sp. S4488
Lineage: Bacteria; Pseudomonadati; Pseudomonadota; Gammaproteobacteria; Alteromonadales; Pseudoalteromonadaceae
Also listed under: 2 other names
Description: tRNA-Trp
Rfam family: tRNA
About the family: Transfer RNA (tRNA) molecules are approximately 80 nucleotides in length. Their secondary structure includes four short double-helical elements and three loops (D, anti-codon, and T loops). Further hydrogen bonds mediate the characteristic L-shaped molecular structure. tRNAs have two regions of fundamental functional importance: the anti-codon, which is responsible for specific mRNA codon recognition, and the 3' end, to which the tRNAs corresponding amino acid is attached (by aminoacyl-tRNA synthetases). tRNAs cope with the degeneracy of the genetic code in two manners: having more than one tRNA (with a specific anti-codon) for a particular amino acid; and 'wobble' base-pairing, i.e. permitting non-standard base-pairing at the 3rd anti-codon position.
Source: RNAcentral
CUAUAAGUAGCUCAAACAGGUAGAGCACCAAAACCAAUUUUGAUGUUGCGGGUUCAAAUCCCGCCUUAGUCA